Non-coding RNA from Microcebus murinus (gray mouse lemur), 550 nucleotides. Lineage: Eukaryota; Metazoa; Chordata; Mammalia; Primates; Cheirogaleidae. The record is from RefSeq and is a predicted model, not a curated record.
GUGCUCAGCUGGCGUUGUCCUGCGAGUGUUCUUUCAGUGAUGUGUGACGGAUACCACGGUUUUUCUUUUAAGUCAUAUUCAGUGUAUGAAAGAGGCCCUUGUACAGACAUCAUCUCAGUGGACUCAUUUGCUGAGAACGAGACAUUCACUUUUGACACCGCCAGGGAAGUGUGUGCCACGUGUGCGAUUGCACGAGUGUGCAACUGAGCCCAGACGGAGAGGAAGCAGGAGGAACAAGACUAGGAUGCAUGAGGACUUUGGAAUUGGAGAGAGGUUCCAGUGAGGCCUAGAAAGGAUUCCCCCAGCGCUGUUCCUGUGCACGUGAAGUCCUACUCCUGCGCUCAGCACACAAACUUUGUUUUUCACAGCACUUGAAAAGAACUGAGCAGGUAGAAGGAGCGUGGACCCCAGUUCCUGCCAGACCAGAUUCCAAGGUCCCUGACAAGCCAGCCUCACAGGGAACAGGGGGAAAAAAGGGGGGUGGGGUGGGAAACAGACCCGGCUGCUUUUUGCUAGGAGUUAAAGCCCCAUAAAGCCCCAAACCCCUUUU